CCCUUAGAUGUUCUGGGCUGCACGCGUGCUACACUGAUAUUGCCAAUAUGUCAUUCUUAUCCGAAAUGGAUUGGGUAAUCAAGUAAUGAAAUUUCAUGCUUGGAAUCGGUAAUUGCAAUUUUAUCGUGAACGAGGAAUUCCUAGUAAACACUAGUCAUCAGCUAAUGUUGAUUAUGUCCCUGCCCUUUGUACACACCGCCCGUCGCUACUACUGAUUGGGUGUUCAAGUGAGAUGCUUAGACCCUUGUUGCAUGGUUCAUUAUUGUGCUCCGAAAGGAAAAAGUUUCAAGCUUGAGUGUCUAGAGGAAGUAAAAGUCGUAACA
Molecule: ribosomal RNA, 323 nt
Filed under: uncultured eukaryote
Lineage: Eukaryota
Description: partial 18S ribosomal RNA
Rfam family: Eukaryotic small subunit ribosomal RNA
Source: RNAcentral